Molecule: long non-coding RNA, 2795 nt
Organism: Sarcophilus harrisii (Tasmanian devil)
Lineage: Eukaryota; Metazoa; Chordata; Mammalia; Dasyuromorphia; Dasyuridae
Source: Ensembl
CCACCGGGAGCCAGCCUGGCUGUCGGCAUUGACCUGGACGGGAGGUUCCGGCUCUCUCUGCCUCCCCGCCCCCAUCAUUAACGCGUGGCGCCCCCCACCCCCGAGCAGAGGCGUUUCCAAGGGUCCCCCUGUUCACGCGCAGGAAAGGCCGCGGGCUGCCGCCUCCGAGCCGCGCGGAGCCUGACGGCCGCAGGAGCCAGCGCCAGGUGCGGGAUGAGGAGCCCGCGCCCCGGCCCGUAGUGGGGGCUUGGCAAACGUUUGCGGGGUAAGCGACCCCCCCCCCCCAGGAGCGGAGGAAAACCAUCUCUGAGGCAGUCAUUGUCCGGAACUCCCCCCGCCCCGGCGAGGGAGGGAGGGGCUUUGUCCGAAGGGAAUCAGGGGCCGUGCUGAGGCAGGCUCCCGGCCCCCCCCGCCCCCCAGCAGGAAGGGGGGAACACGCAGCGGCGGGGGCGGGGGCGGGUUGAUUCCCUCCGCGCGCCCGCUGUAGCCGCCCUCCUUCUCCCGGCUGCUUCGGGGGGACUGAAUUUGCAAUUCAGGGGCUUUGGCCGGUGCGCAGCGUUAACCGCCCGGGGACAGCGAAGCGCCCGCGUCCGCCCCGCGCCCUCCGGCCAGCCAGAGGGGGCGGAGCGCUCCGCGGCGUGCUCUCUGACUCAUCCCCGCCCGGACCGGGAAGCGGCCGCCGGCGGGCCCCGGGAUUCUCGGGCCCGGGCGGGCCCCGAGGCCGGCGCUGCUCUGCGGGCUCUGCCUGCGCGCCGGCUGCUCGGACCCCUUUAUUGUAUGCGCGCCGGGAGGUGCCUGGGCGUCCCCAGCGCGGGCGGGCCCGUGCCCAGGAUGCUCGGAAGCAGGCAUAAGGGCAGGCACGCGCGGGGGCCCCCCCAGGCGCGGCGGAGCACGCGCGCACGCCCAGAACCCCAAGCUUUAGUGUCUGGCUCAGUAUGCACUUGGUGAGACUCUCCAGUGGGUUUCAGCACUUGAUUGAGCCUCACGUCUGCUAACAGGACACAGCGAACCACUGAUUUAGACAUGGCCAGAGACCCCAAAGGGAGCCGGGCCCGGCCCGGCCAGAAGCGACAGCACAGCGCUACCCUCUACCACAGUAACUGUGACCUGAACUAUGAGCUGUAUCGGGAAGACUUCCCCUACAGGGUGUAUGAAUAUCAGAGGAUCCCCCCACUUAUCAACCGAGCGCCUGUCAAGAGCAGACGGACUCACAUGGGAACAGGGGGCAAGAGUGGCCUCAACCCCCACAUCCCCCCACGAAGCAACAACCCACCCCCUGUCCGGACAAAGUUAAGAGCUGAGGAGCUGCACUCGAUCAAGGGGGAGCUGAGCCAGAUCAAAGCCCAGGUGGACAGUCUGCUCGAGAGUCUGGAGCGCAUGGAUCAGCGGCGAGACCGGCUGGGAGGGCCCCAAGACAGUGAGAAGAAGGUGGCCUCGGCCGGCGGGGAGUCCUCCAGUGCGGCCACGGAGGCCCAGCGGGAGCCCAGGGGCAAAGAGAGCCCGGAGGCCAGAGCUCGCAGCCGCAGGGAGGCCGACAGUGCUGAAGAGAGCACGGACACGGAGGAGGCGGUGAGGAUGAAAAACCACACAUCGGACCCUGACGGGAGCCAGUAGAAGCACUGGGGCCCUUCCUGGGUCGGCCUCCCAGCCGGUGCCACGUGAGACCUGCCCUCCAGCCUCUCCUCCAGAAGCUGGGCACAAGUCCCUGAGGUGCAGGCCUAGAGAAUGGGCCUGGGGAGGCAGGAAAAUCCAGCAGGUCUAGAAUUUCCCUUUGAAAAAACUCCACCCUCCUUUCCUCUGUGCUGUUUCCCCCACCUCAUGAAAAAGGGGUUCCCUUGGUAGUAAGGCUUGGCAGGACGGGCAUUUGGGGGAAGCAUCUGGGCCAACAAUUCCAAGUUCUUCCCAAAUUGCUCAGUGAUGAUUUUCAGUUCCCCGUCCCCACCGGGUACCCACUCAUUUCUUCUUGAAGAAACAUUCCCAGGGGUAGAAACCCCCCCAUCUCUUGGACAGUCAGUCCAUUUACAACAGUAUUGGCUCUCUUCCUGGCUCCAGCAGACACGACCCAGGUUUUGCUCUCAAUAUUAGCCAUUCGACACAGAAACCCCCAGUGUUCCUUAUGGGGCUCCCCCAGCUUUCUUUCUGCCCAGCCAGUGUUGGGGAGACAUUGGCCGCAUACCCCCUCAUCCCCGCGAUGUGAGGUGAGAUCGAUACCAUUCUGUGCUUUCUCUGGUCCCCGAGAACCCCUACCAAGCCAGGCCAAGGGCAGCCGCCUCAGCUCCUGGUGGCUCAUCAAGGUUCCCCCUUUUCCCAGCACCCCGUGGCUUCAAUGUUUUGCACUAUUAGCCUUCAUGUGACCCCUUCUUCUCCCCCGGCCCCUGCAGAAUUCCAUACCCACAGUGGUGCAUGGGAAAUGAGUUCUGUUUCCGACAGGUGCGUUUCUGCUCCGUAGAAGAUAAGUCAGGUCCUUGGUCGAUGUUGCCCCGGUUAGCCCCGUUACUUCCUUGUCCCCCCUUCCCCCAUGCUGUCCUUUCAGAACAGGUGUAGUUCAUUCUUAUGUCCAGUUUCUAGCUUGUCUUCUUGCUGGUAUGAUACUGUGUAUUUCAAAUCUGCUCUGGAAAAGUGUAUUGUGUUGAAAGGAAAAAAAAUUAAAAGUUUGUAUUUCUUUUCUCUGGUUAAAUCGAUUCUGUAUGAGUUCCUUCUCUGCUCUCCCCCAACCACGUUGCAGGCCCUGGGCCCUUCCAGGGUUCCUGGGACCGACCCUCCAGAUCAAAACACCCAGACGGCCCUAGACCUCC